UGGCGCCCCUCUGGCGCUUCUUCGGCCCAGUAUUUUUCAUAAAUCCGGAAAAAAAAUCCUCGUUAAUUUUUACGGCGUUUGGAGUUGCGCAGAAUAGGUAUCUCAACUUUGCUCCACUUUCAGGCCAGAAUUCCAGCUGCUGGCAUUCUCCCUCUUCAUGUAAACCUUGCAAAAUAAGAGAGAAAAGGCAUAAGAAUUGUACCGUGAAGUGAAAUAACAGCCCAAGAAGCGAUAAAUAUCAACAUGAAAACAUGAUGCAAAAUGGACGUAUCACGCGCCACCCUGCAGGAGAAGGAUGAUUCCUAUGCUGCCGACACGGAGCGUCUCAAGACGGCUCAUCUCGAGGAGAUGAAGCUCAAGGACACUGCCCUGAAGGAGAAGGGGGAAGCCCUGAUCCAGAGGCAGGCGCAGCUGGCCAAGGCACUGGAGGCGGCUGCGGCCCUCCAGGAAGAGAUCUCCCGCGCAACUCAAGCGAGCAAGGUGCGGGAGCUCGAGGCCCUGGAGAAUGCCCACGAAACCGACACCCAUUUCGACCGUAAGUCCUUUUUAUUUUGUCUUGAUUUUUUCUUCUUUGCUGCUUCCUCCUCUUAUUCUUCUUCGCACCCCUUCCCCUAUCCCAGGAUUCUUCCCUGAGACACGGGAAGCGGCUCAAACGGCUGUCGAGGUCAGCCGCGAGGAGCGUUGCGUUGCAGGGCAGGAGGUAGAGGCCACUGUCGGCUGGAGUGUGGAGGAGAUUAGCGUGGGCCUCAGAGCCCGCCUGCGUGCUCUGGCCGAAUCCAUGGAGCGGCUUUAGAAUGCAGGCUCGUCGAUGAUAAAGGCUCUCUGGCCCGACGUCAUGGAGCCGGCGUCGAUGAGUCGGCUCUCCCGCUGGCUUGCGACUGGCGACGAUCGCCUUGACGCCUGGCGCGCCUCAGCCGCGCGUGCUGGUGCCUACAUGGCGCUGCGCUUUGCCAAGUCCUGGUACCGGAACCUGGACUUGGGCAACCUCGUCGCGCAGCGCAACGACUCGGAGGGGGAGUUGCACGUCGUGGAGGAGGAGCUACGUGUGAGGGCCAGCGACAUUGCCUCGUACGCCUCCUCGGAUGAGCUCAACUUGGAGCGGGAUGAAGACGGCAACGUGGUCCCUGAGGGUCUGCACCGUCUUCAGCAUUAUGACGCCAAUGGCAGCUCCGACGAGGCGGCCCAUGAGGAGGAAGACACCGCCUCCAGCGGCGAGGCGUAUGCCGACUCCGCCAAGGACGGAGCCGGAAGCUCUGGUGGAGGAGACGACGCCACCGCCUCGGGAGCAGCUGGCGAUGGUGAAGCCACCACUUCAAGAGCAGCAGCCGGGGCAACAUAUGAGGUCGCCGCCCCUUAGUCGGUCCUGUUUUUGUUUUGGUUGUCUACAAUAUAUUGUCAGUCCAACAGUUCCACCCACAAGGGGGUGUAAUGAACUUCGGCCGUGGGCCAAUGCUUUUGAAUGUAUGAAUUCUGCAUUAAAUUCAUAAUGCCAUGCGUGCUGCUUUGUGUUUUCAUCUUUUGAUUCCUGCUUGACUUCUUUUUCUCUAACCCCUUUACUCCCUCUAGCAUCUACCCCGCCAGCCCGACAGCCGGGAGCCGGUCUGUGACUGGGUCGAGGCUUCUGCCUUUGGGGAUAUUGGACUUAGAUUUUUCGAAGCCAUCAAGACUUAAAGACUCAAACGCAAACCAGCAGAGGCCGGCUAGAAUAAGAUUGCAAAAAAGGAUCAAACCAACCCGAGCCGGCACCCCUUUUUGUAGUUUGAACUUUUCGCGCAGCAGGCCUUACCGGGCGCUGCCUCGCUAGCCGGAUGAUAUGUCUCAAACGUAUCUAUAUUUUUUGAUGGUUUCAUGUUGUUUUCUUGUCAACUUUGGAUGUUUUAUGUACCUUUUGUAUCUUUUUUGGGACUAACUUAUUAAUUCAGUGCCAAGUGCCAGUUCCUGUUUUUUUUUACUCUUUUCAGAUCUGAUUUUGGAACGGAGUCCAAACGGAAUAAAAUCCCCGAAAUAAAUUUUUCCAGAACAAAAGAAGAUCGGGGGACUUGAGGGCCAAGGCAGGAGAGCCACACGGGCCCCACAAGCCCUGUAGCCGCCACCAGGGGGGCCGGCGGCUACCAGGCUUGUGGCCCCCCUGGAGCUCCCCUGCCCUAGCUCUUUCGCCUAUAAAUUCCCUAAAAUCCAGAAAAAAAUCAGGGCAUCCACGAAAAUACUUUUCCGCCGCCGCAAGCGUCCGUUUCCGCGAGAUCUCAUCUGGAGACCCUUCCCGGUGCCCUGUCGGAGGGGACUUUGGAUUUGGAGGGCUUCUACAUCAACAUCAUCGCCUCUCCAAUGACUCGUGAGUAGUCCACUUCAAACCUACGGGUCCGUAGUUAGUAGCUAGAUGGCUUCUUCUCUCUCUUGGAUCUUCAAUACAAAGUUCUCCAUGAUCUUCAUGGAGAUCUAUCGAUGUAAUCCUCUUUGGCGGUGUGUUUGUCGAGAUCCGAUGAAUUGUGGAUUUAUGAUCAGAUUAUCUAUGAAUUAUAUUUGAGUCUUUGCUGAUUUCUUAUAUGCAUGAUUUGAUAUCCUUGUAAGUCUCUCCGAGUCUUGGGUUUUGUUUGGCCAACUAGAUCUAUGAUUCUUGCAAUGGGAGAAGUGCUUGGUUUUGGGUUCAUACCGUGUGGUGACCUUUCCCAGUGAUAGAAGGGGUAUCAAGGCACGCAUCGUGUUGUUGCCAUCAAGGGUAACAAGAUGGGCUUUUAUCAUAGAUAUGAGAUUGUCCAUCUACAUCAUGUCAUCUUGCUUAAGGCGUUACUCUGCUCUUAUGAAAUUAAUACACUAGAUGCAUGCUGGAUAGCGGUCGACGUGUGGAGUAAUAGUAGUAGAUGCAAAAAGUAUCGGCCUACUUGUUUUGGACGUGAUGCCUAUAGAUAUAAUCAUUGCCUUAGAUAACGUCAUGACUUUGCGCGGUUCUAUCAAUUGCUCGACAGUAAUACGUUCACCCACCGUCUACUUGCUUUCUUGAGAGAAGCCACUAGUAAACACUACGGCCCCCGGGUCUAUUCACAACUAUCGUUUCCACUUUCACUUUUACUUUGCUUUGUUUACUUUUUGCUUUCAGUUCUCACUUUGCAAACAAUCUAUAAGGGAUUGACAACCCCUUCAUAGCAUUGGGUGCAAGCUUUUUGUGUUUGUGCAGGUACUUGUGACUUGACGCGAUCCUCCCUCUGGAUCGAUACCUUGGUUCUCAAAACUGAGGGAAAUACUUACCGCUGUUGUGCUACAUCACCCGUUCCGCUUCGAGGGAACACCAACGCAAGGCUCCAAGGCCACGGGAGUCCCUAAAGGUGUAGCCGUAGCAGAAGAAUUCCGGGCGCCGUUUUUGAGUAGUAUCAAGACAAGAAUAGUCUCCCGUCAACACACCUAUUUCUGGCGCCGUUGGAAGGUCUUUUGUUGCAGUAGCAGAAGUAUUUCUGGCGCCGUUGUCGGGGAAGGAGAGAUCAAGUCAAGAUAUAUCCAAGUAGGUGUCACAAACUCAUCUCUUGCAUUUACUUUUUUUUGCCAGUUGCCUCUCGUUUUCCUCUCCCCCACUUCACAUUUGCCGUUUUCAUUUGCCUUUCUCCUUUGUCGUUUUAUUUUGCCUUUUGUCGUUUUCCUUGGCCGGUUUUCUUGCUUGCUUGUGUUAUUUUUGGUUUGUUGAAGUCAUCAUGGCUGAAAACACCAAACUUUGCGACUUCUCGAGUACCAAUAAUAAUGAUUUUAUUAGUACUCCGAUUGCUCCCGCCACUAGUGCGGAAUCGUAUGAAAUCAACGCUGCCUUGCUGAAUCUUGUUAUGAAAGAGCAAUUCUCUGGCCUUCCUAGUGAAGAUGUCGCAUCCCAUCUCAAUACCUUCAUUGAACUUUGCGAUAUGCAAAAGAAAAGAGAUGUGGAUAAUGACGUGAUUAAGUUGAAGCUUUUUUCCUUUCUCGUUGCGAGAUCGCGCAAAAACUUGGUUUUCUUCUUUGCCUAAAAAUAGUAUCGAUUCUUGGGAUAAGUGCAAAGAUGCUUACAUAUCCAAGUAUUUUCCGCCGGCUAAGAUUAUCUCCUUACGUAACGAUAUCAUGAAUUUCAAGCAACUUGAUCAUGAACACGUUGCACAAUCUUGGGAGAGGAUGAAGUUAAUGAUUAGAAAUUAUCCUGCUCAUGGCUUGAGUUUGUGGAUGAUUAUACAAAUCUUUUACGCUGGUUUGAAUUUUGCUUCUCGCAAUAUCUUGGACUCCGCCUCAGGUCGAAAAUUCAUGGAAAUCACGUUAGGAGACGCUACAAAAUUCCUAGACAAUAUCAUGACCAACUACUCUCAGUGGCACACUGAAAGGUCACCUUCUAGCAAAAAGGUACACGCUAUAGAAGAAAUUAACUCGCUUAGUGCUAAGAUGGACGAGUUGAUGAAUUUGGUUACUAGUAGAAGUGCUCCUUUAGAUCCUAAUGGCAUGCCACUAUCUUCCUUGAUUGAGAGUAGCAACGCUAGUUUGGACGUUAAUUUUGUUGGUAGGAACAAUUUUGGCAACAACAAUGCUUUUAGAGGAAACUAUGUUCCUAGACCUUUUCCUAGUAACUCCUCUAACAAUUAUGGCAAUUCCUACAACAACACUUAUGGAAAUCACAACAAAUUACCCUCUGAUUUAGAGAGUAAUAUCAAAGAGUUCAUCAACUCUCAAAACAUUUUCAAUGCAUCCAUAGAGGAAAAACUACUCAAAAUAGACGAUUUGGCUAAAAGCGUGGAUAGGAUGUCUUGUGAUAUUGAUGCUUUGAAAGUUAGAUGUGCUCCUCCCAAGGUCAACUUGGAUGAAACUUUAAAAGCUAUGUGUGUCUCCAUGAAUGAGAGCAAAGAAAGAACCGCCCAAAUUCGCGCUAGGCAUGAAUGGUUUAAAAGGGUGUGUUCUAGUGAUGCAAAUCACGAAUAUCUUAAAGUGCUUGGUGUGACUCCUCUUGAAUCUUUGUUUUCGCGUGACAAACCUAUUGAUGAAGGGGCUGGAUAUGAAUCCACUUUGGUUGAAAAACGCCCCAAUGAUUCGGAGCCCACCUAUCUUGAUGAUAAAGGUGUGGAGAGUGGAGUAGAAGAAAUCAAAAUAUUGGGUAGUAAUGAAACUCCCACUUUGGAUUUCAAGGAAUUCAAUUAUGAUAGUUGCUCCUUGUUUGAAUGCAUUUCUUUGAUGCAAUCCAUUGCAAACUCUCCACAUGCUUAUAGCCAGAGCAAAGCCUUUACCCCUCGUAUCGUAGAUGCUAUGAUGAAAUCUCUUGAAGAGAAGCUCGAAUUAGAAGUCUCUAUACCUAGAAAACUUCAUGAUGAGUGGGAACCUACUAUCAAAAUCAAAAUAAAAAACUAUGAAUGCAAUGCUUUGUGUGAUUUGGGUGCUAGUGUUUCCGCGAUUCCAAAGUCUUUAUGUGAUAUUCUUGGUUUUCAUGAGAUUGAAGAGUGUUCUCUUAAUUUGCAUCUUGCGGAUUCUACUGUCAAGAAACCCAUGGGAAGGAUCGAUGAUGUUCUUAUUGUUGCAAAUAAGAACUAUGUACCCGUGGAUUUCAUUGUACUUGACAUAGAUUGCAAUCCUUCAUGUCCCAUUAUUCUUGGUAGACCUUUCCUAAGGACUAUUGGUGCUAUCAUCGAUAUGAAGGAAGGGAAUAUUAGAUUUCAAUUUCCUCUAAAGAAGGGCAUGGAGCAUUUUCCUAGAAAUAAAAUAAGAUUGCCUUAUGAAUCUAUGAUGAGGGCUACUUAUGGUUUGAGCACCAAAGAUGACUAUACGUGAUUCCAUCACCUUUUGCCUAGCUAAGGGCGUUAAACAAUAGUGCUUGUUGGGAGGCAACCCAAGAAUUUAUCUUUGCUUUUUGCUUUCUGUUUUGUUGCCUCGGAAACUGGAGUGAGGUCGUAGGUGGAGUUAUACUCGCGCUGUGUGGCCUCCAUCCGGCGUUUAGCCGAGGCGAUGGCAAUGCCCUCCUCCAAGAUCUGCCUGCGAGCCUCCUCCAGCGAGGCUCGUGCAUCGGUGGGGUUUGUGGAGGUGGAGAUGGGCGUCUUCAGGCCGGUAAGCGCGGCCUGAAGAGUGUCAGCGGUGACAGCAGGCUCACCAGCGUCUGCUGACGCCUUGCCAUGAGCCGUGCCGGUGCCAGCGCCGAUGACCAUCACCUCCACGAUGUUGGAGACGGUGGCGACAUGAUACGUGGUGAAGAACACCGCGGACGACGAAGGACCGUCGAAGACGAGUACGUUGUUGGGGUACACGUCGAAUGUAGGCAUCUCAGCGAUAGAGAGCCUACUGAAUCUAGCGCAUAGCGCCUCUACAUCGAAGUCCUCGCCAAAGUAGCGAAGACCAUCGUUGAGGUGCAAAUCGCUAAAGAGAACGUUGAGGUUCUCCAUAGCAGCGACGACGGCGUUGGGGAGCGACUCGUCGUCGGACUCCCCAUCCGAAUCUGCAUGACGGACUGGGACGUCUAUCAUCAUCGGUGAAGCCUCACCGAAGGCAGGCUCCACGGGCAUGCAGAUCGGUCCGGACGCGAUGCAUCCGGCGGUGUAAGCGCGGGGCCCCGCCCAGUGCGUGAAGCCAGCCGAUGCUGCGGACGACCCCACGGUGGGCACCAAAUGUCGGGUUUACUCACAACAUAAGCCAUGGGUAGGCUAAAGAUGGUGGGAACCGAAGUGGCACCGGAGGAUGCUGGGAACGAGGUUGGUACAAGCAUGGAACGCACGAUGUACCCAGGUUCAGGGCUCUCCGUAGAGAUAUCACCCCUAAUCCUGUCGGUGUGUAUGAUGUAUGAAUGGGACUACAAAAUGCUCCGAGAGCUGUAUUGCGGAGGGGGAAGAAGGAGCUGCCGGCUCGCGUCUGUCUCUCCUAUGUGGUUGGUGUGUGUGCUGAGUUGACCGACCCUCUGCAUGGAGGGGGGUGAGGGGUUUUAUAGACGAACCCACCGACCUACAAUAUGGAUAAAAGGUACAAGAGUGGUACCCGGCUGGCAGCCUCGCCGGCUAGCCAGGGGGGCCACGGGGGUCUUGUCUUGUCGCUGGAGGGGCCCGCCGGCUGCGAGGUCUCGUCUGGUUGUGGGACCCGUCGGCUAGCCAAUAAGGCUCUCGCGUAAGGUUGACGCAGGACACGUGUGGUACGUCCGGCGUCGUCCAGCGAGAUUCGUCAUGCGCAAACAGUACGGCCGUCUCCACUGUUCUCACGCCGAGUGCAGUAAUGGAGUGGAAGUUUGACUCGUCGACACUGUGCAGGGUGAUGGAUCAGAGCCGGAGGAGGUCAGCGGCGCGGCCGCCGACGCUGUACCCGCCGUGCAUCCCGAUCCAGUACAUUUGGUGACGUGUAGCCACCUUUAACCAUAGGGUCUCGUCUUGACCUACGGCCUGAUGUGACUUGUGCUUCCUAGUCGGCUAGUCGCUUGACUAGCCGGCCCAGGCACGGUCGCCUGGCUUGGCCUAGGCGGCCAGGAGGAGGUAGCCGUCUCGCCUCUAGCCGGCAGGUGCUUCCUGGCCGGCCAGAGAGUUGGCCGCCUCGCCCCCCAGCCGGCAGGUGCUUCCUAGCCGGUCAGGGGGCUUGGGCUUUGUAGAAUUGUUCUGGUUACUCCUUCUUGGCUGAAGGUAAAGGAGCAGGCUCGCUGAGCCUAUCCCGGGGUUAUCCUCCGACAAUGGUUGAACCGUUUGCAUAAUGAAGGUCGAACACUCGCGGGAUUCUUAGGCAAAAGAGAAAAUAUUACGGGACGUUUCCGUUCUGGGCCUCUGGAAUGCAAAUACACUGUUUUUUUAGUAAACUAUAAAUUAUUACUAAAUAUUAAAUUUUCUGAUUUUUUUUUUAGUUUUUAAUGUUAGUAUAACAAGUGUGCUUUACAAUUUUCAUACGAAACAGAUUAUAGUGCUUCAUGGAUGGAAAAGGAAAAUUAGAUGUCACAUUUGAAGUUAACGUUUGGCGUUUUCCUUGUUAUUUCUGCAUAGGGCAAAAUGGGUAACCUUUUCUCCAUCAAAAUUCGUAGGUAACAUUUGGGUGUGUCAAAAAACACAUUUAUUUCUUUACCUAUUAAUAAAACACCUAUUGCUUCUGUGGUACGUCAUUAAAAUUGUCCUCGAAGUUGGCUUAAAUUACCCACUAUGCCACCCAUAAUUGAAAAAAACAGUUCAUAUUUUUUUCCUGUCAAAGCUAUCCUUCUUAAGGACCGAGACCCUAAUCUAUCAUUACCUUCUGUUUGGCGUAGUGGCUCGAGCUGCUCUCCUGUACGCAUGCACCUCCUUUGUCCUAGCACCAGUUCAUGAGGCCGUCCAUAUUUUAUUUUUUCAAUUUGAUUUUUCUUUAUAAAUUAAAUAGGGAAUUUUCAGAAACCCAAUUUUUAAAAGUUGUGAAAUUUGAAAAAAAAAUCAUGAAACCAUAAAUUGUUCUAUAAUUCAAAAAAUGCUUUGGGAAAUCAUUAAAUGUUUACAGAUUCAAAAAAAUGUGGACGAUUUUAAAAAAUUGUUCGCAUAUUAUAAAAUAAUUCAUGAUUUUCAAAAAUAUAUUUAGCAAAAAUAAAACAUCGAUAACUCGGAAAAUGAUCAUGCAUUAAAAACAUAUUCAUGAGUUCGAAGAAAAUGUCUAUGAAAUUUUUAAAAAAUGUUCACAAAAACUAAAAAAAAUCAUUAAAUUCAAGAUUUGUUCUCUAAUUUCAAAAAAGUUCAUCGAUUCAAAACAUGUUUGCUAAGUAAAAAACUGUCCAUGCAUUUCAUACAAAAAAUAAGUAAAAAUAACUAAAAUUUAUAUUCCCCGUUGCAACGCACGGGUCCUUGUGCUAGUAUAAUAAAAGGUCGCGAGAAAUAUUUCUAGUGUGCAGGAGCAUAUGCUCCGAAAAGCCGAAUUGGAUCCUGGAAAUAUCACCCACUAGAUCUCCCAAGAUAAUCUGCUGCAUUUGCAGGAUCGAGUGGGUUUGUGCACGUUCCGACGAACAAUUAGACCCAGCAUGCAUGAAUGGAUUGAGGUGAGAUCUUACCGGCGACCACUGAGGAGCGUGCGUCCUGGUGCGGCUGCAGGAGCAGGAGAGGGACGUUGGUCCGAACUCCAGAGGGCUCUGGUUUGGAACACGAAAGAAGUGGAGUAGCAGACUCGAGGGGGAGG
RNAcentral lists this long non-coding RNA (9075 nucleotides) under Hordeum vulgare. Its description in RNAcentral is "long non-coding RNA (HVUL_LNC007988)". Lineage: Eukaryota; Viridiplantae; Streptophyta; Magnoliopsida; Poales; Poaceae. The record is from RNAcentral.